RNAcentral lists this ribosomal RNA (543 nucleotides) under uncultured Glomeromycotina. RNAcentral's name for it is "SSU rRNA". It matches the Rfam family "Eukaryotic small subunit ribosomal RNA", at positions 555 to 1098 of the family's 1831-position model. The record is from RNAcentral. Lineage: Eukaryota; Fungi; Glomeromycota.
GCAAGUCUGGUGCCAGCAGCCGCGGUAAUUCCAGCUCCAAUAGCGUAUAUUAAAGUUGUUGCAGUUAAAAAGCUCGUAGUUGAAUUUCGGGAUCAAUAUUUCGGUCAUGCCGUUGGUAUGCACUGUUAUCAUUGAUUUCUCACCUUCUAAAGAACCAUAAUGCCAUUAAUUUGGUGUUACGGGGAAUUAGGACUGUUACCUUGAAAGAAUUAGAGUGUUUAAAGCAGGCUCACGCUUGAAUACAUUAGCAUGGAAUAAUGAAAUAGGACAUCCGAUUCUAUUUUGUUGGUUUCUAGGAUCGAUGUAAUGAUUAAUAGGGAUAGUUGGGGGCAUUAGUAUUCAAUUGUCAGAGGUGAAAUUCUUGGAUUUAUUGAAGACUAACUACUGCGAAAGCAUUUGCCAAGGAUGUUUUCAUUAAUCAAGAACGAAAGUUAGGGGAUCGAAGACGAUCAGAUACCGUCGUAGUCUUAACCAUAAACUAUGCCGACUAGGGAUCGGAUGAUGUUAAUUUUUUAAUGACUCAUUCGGCGCCUUACGGGAAAC